Molecule: ribosomal RNA, 629 nt
Filed under: Sporopachydermia sp. 91-110.1
Lineage: Eukaryota; Fungi; Ascomycota; Sporopachydermiomycetes; Sporopachydermiales; Sporopachydermiaceae
Description: LSU rRNA
Rfam family: Eukaryotic large subunit ribosomal RNA
Source: RNAcentral
AAUCUUUGACCUCAAAUCAGGUAGGAAUACCCGCUGAACUUAAGCAUAUCAAUAAGCGGAGGAAAAGAAACCAACAGGGAUUGCUUUAGUAGCGGCGAGUGAAGCGGCAAGAGCUCAAAUUUGAAAUCUGGGGCCUUUGGUCUCCGAGUUGUAAUUUGAAGAAAGUAUUUUAGAUUUGGCCUUUUUCUAAGUUCCUUGGAACAGGACUUCAUAGAGGGUGAGAAUCCCGUGUGAAGAGGUGUCCUUAUCUAUGUAAAAUGCUUUCGACGAGUCGAGUUGUUUGGGAAUGCAGCUCUAAGUGGGUGGUAAAUUCCAUCUAAAGCUAAAUAUUUGCGAGAGACCGAUAGCGAACAAGUACAGUGAUGGAAAGAUGAAAAGAACUUUGAAAAGAGAGUGAAAAAGUACGUGAAAUUGUUGAAAGGGAAGGGCUUCAGAUCAGACUUGAUGUUUAGUGAUCCAUUUUCCUUUUUGGUUGAUGCACGCACUUUUCAUUGGGCCAACAUCGAUUUGAAUGGUGGGAUAAUGCCGUUGGAAUGUAGCUUCAUUCGUGAAGUGUUAUAGACUUCGGUGAUACUGCCCAUUUGGAUCGAGGACUGCGUCUUUUGACUAGGAUGUUGGCGUAAUGAUCU